UAGGGAAUCUUCGGCAAUGGACGAAAGUCUGACCGAGCAACGCCGCGUGAGUGAAGAAGGUUUUCGGAUCGUAAAACUCUGUUGGGUAGAGAAGAACGUUGGUGAGAGUGGAAAGCUCAUCAAGUGACGGUAACUACCCAGAAAGGGACGGCUAACUACGUGCCAG
Molecule: ribosomal RNA, 166 nt
Filed under: uncultured bacterium
Lineage: Bacteria
Description: partial 16S ribosomal RNA
Rfam family: Bacterial small subunit ribosomal RNA
Source: RNAcentral